This is a long non-coding RNA of Nannospalax galili (Upper Galilee mountains blind mole rat), 265 nucleotides long. RefSeq lists it as uncharacterized. The record is from RefSeq and is a predicted model, not a curated record. Lineage: Eukaryota; Metazoa; Chordata; Mammalia; Rodentia; Spalacidae. The transcript is spliced from 2 exons.
AAGAAUCUCAUUUGAGUAUACACCAGCUGAAAACACCAGGCUAAAUAUGGAUGGCAAGAGGGUCUCGUGCGUCAUCAGAAAGAAUCAUUCCAGCUCAGCAGUUGUUGGAAAUUCCCAGCUCUCCCUGGAUCCUAAGGGACCACCUGUCCUGACCAAAAGCACCGAGACGGGAACUCUUUCUCCAGAAGGAAUGAAGUCUUCAGAGGGGCUGCACUGUCACCAAUAUCCAGCUGUGGAUUCAUAAUAAAAUCAUUUUUUUCAGUUA